CCCUUAGAUGUUCUGGGCCGCACGCGCGCUACACUGAAGGCAUCAGCGUGUCCUUCCCUCCCCGAGAGGGGCGGGUAACCCGCUGAACCGCUUUCGUGGUAGGGAUCGGGGCUUGCAAUUAUUCCCCGUGAACCAGGAAUUCCCAGUAAGCGCGAGUCAUAAGCUCGCGUUGAUUACGUCCCUGCCCUUUGUACACACCGCCCGUCGCUACUACCGAUUGAACGUUUUAGUGAGGUAUUUGGAUCGGACCUGAAGGGGUUCACGCCCUUUCUGUGUCUGAGAAGACUCCCAAACUUGAGCGUUUAGAGGAAGUAAAAGUCGUAACA
This 326-nucleotide ribosomal RNA is filed under the name uncultured eukaryote. RNAcentral describes it as "partial 18S ribosomal RNA". It matches the Rfam family "Eukaryotic small subunit ribosomal RNA", at positions 1470 to 1796 of the family's 1831-position model. The record is from RNAcentral.